This 250-nucleotide ribosomal RNA is filed under the name uncultured bacterium. RNAcentral describes it as "partial 16S ribosomal RNA". It matches the Rfam family "Bacterial small subunit ribosomal RNA", at positions 524 to 772 of the family's 1533-position model. The record is from RNAcentral.
AACGUAGGAGGCAAGCGUUAUCCGGAUUUACUGGGCGUAAAGCGCGUGCAGGCGGUUUCCUCAGUCGUGCGUGAAAGCUCCCUGGCUUAACCGGGAGAGGUCGUGCGAUACUGGGAAACUGGAGACAGAGAGAGGCAAGUAGAAUUCCGGGUGUAGUGGUGAAAUGCGUAGAUAUCCGGAGGAAUACCAGUGGCGAAGGCGGCUUGCUAGCUCUGUUCUGACGCUCAGACGCGAAAGCAUGGGGAGCGAA